RNAcentral lists this long non-coding RNA (482 nucleotides) under Panax ginseng (ginseng). RNAcentral describes it as "long non-coding RNA (PGIN_LNC008327)". The record is from RNAcentral. Lineage: Eukaryota; Viridiplantae; Streptophyta; Magnoliopsida; Apiales; Araliaceae.
GGUGCAGAAAGAAAGACUGAUAACAAUUAUAUCAUAAUUAUAACAUUCACAACUAUAACAAACUUUGUACAUCAACAUUUUCAGAAGUUCUUGCCAAUCAAUUACUAAGACACCAACAACACAAAUAAUAAAUACAACUCAAAUGAAUAGGAUGGACAGAGAAUAAUCUUCCUAAUUUUACAGCAUUGAAUAAAACACUGUAUACUUUCUAUAAACACUCAUGGCAGCCAAACUGAAAAACCAAUGACAAAAACAACACAGCAAACUGUAUCAUCACACUAUAAAUCAGAAUACGAGAUUUUUCUUCUUUUGUUUUCCCUUCCAAAUUAUUAAACUUUAACCUCACCUUUAGGUUCAGAAGAAGGCACUUUAACCUCGCCUUUAGGUUCAGAAGAAGGCGUUUUCGAGUUGGUAGAUUUUCCAAUGAUAGCUUUCUUUGCCUUCACAAGUGUGUGCUUCACCUUGGACAAAAUGGUAUUUGA